RNAcentral lists this ribosomal RNA (330 nucleotides) under uncultured eukaryote. Its description in RNAcentral is "partial 18S ribosomal RNA". It matches the Rfam family "Eukaryotic small subunit ribosomal RNA", at positions 1470 to 1796 of the family's 1831-position model. The record is from RNAcentral.
CCCUUAGAUGUUCUGGGCCGCACGCGCGCUACACUGAUCGAGGCAGCGAGCCUGUCCCUCGCCGGAAGGUGCGGGUAAUCUUGUGAAACUCGAUCGUGCUGGGGAUAGACCAUUGCAAUUAUUGGUCUUCAACGAGGAAUUCCUAGUAAGCGCAAGUCAUCAGCUUGCGUUGAUUACGUCCCUGCCCUUUGUACACACCGCCCGUCGCUACUACCGAUUGAAUGGUUUAGUGAGAUCUUCGGAUUGGAGCCCUCGGGAGCAGCGAUGCUUCCUUGGGAAUUCGAGAAGUUGCUCUAACUGAAUUAUUUAGAGGAAGUAAAAGUCGUAACA